GUGCUUACUUUGGCAGCAUUUAUGCUAAAAUUGGAACGAUACGGAGAAGAUUAGCAUGGCUGCUGCACAAGGAUGACAUGCAAAUUUGUGAAGCAUUCCAUAGUUUU
Small nuclear RNA from Camelus dromedarius (Arabian camel), 107 nucleotides. The record is from Ensembl. NCBI's taxonomy places the organism in Eukaryota, Metazoa, Chordata, Mammalia, Artiodactyla, Camelidae.